This 2145-nucleotide ribosomal RNA is filed under the name Cixius mukwanus. RNAcentral's name for it is "partial large subunit ribosomal RNA". It matches the Rfam family "Eukaryotic large subunit ribosomal RNA", at positions 1283 to 2806 of the family's 3401-position model. The record is from RNAcentral. Lineage: Eukaryota; Metazoa; Arthropoda; Insecta; Hemiptera; Cixiidae.
GUACAACUCACCUGCCGAAGCAACUAACCCUGAAAAUGGAUGGCGCUAAAGCGUCGUGCCUAUACCGGGCCGUCAACGGCACAGUGGGCCUCUGCCUUCGGGCAAGAGCCGUUACGUCUUGACGAGUAGGAGGGUCGCGGCGGUGUGCGCAGAAGGGUCUGGGCGUGAGCCUGCCUGGAGCCGCCGUCGGCGCAGAUCUUGGUGGUAGUAGCAAAUACUCUAGAGAGGGCCUGGAGAGCCGAUGUGGAGAAGGGUUUCUUGUGAACAGCCGUUGUACAAGAGUAAGUCGAUCCUAAGUGCUAGGAGAAAUCCGAUGUUGAUGGUCUGGCUGUCGACUUCUAUUCUCAACACUUAGAAAACGCUUCAGGCUUCCGGGCCGUAAAAGCGUAGGCUUUUUCUCUACCAUACACUAUCAAGUGUGGAUUGCUCUGACGUGUUUUCCGGUGGGCUGUUGCUUGAUACGCUUCAGUCUGUAUGGACUUGAACGACCCAUUGCCCCACCAGUGGUGGGGCUAGUCGUUCAUCGGGUCAGAGUAAUCCAGGCUCUAUGGCACUUGUGUCUUGCUAGCUGAACGAAAGUAUCAGAACUAGCCUUGGAGCUUUUGGGCGAGAAAUAGCAAUGUGUUAUCCUUAGCCCGUUGAAGGGCGAAAGGGAAUCCGGUCAACAUUCCGGAACCCGGCUGCGUAAACCGCUCUCUGUUGGCGUAAGCCGGCGAGCGCUUUGUUGGGGUAACCCAAGCUGUCCCGGAGACUCUGGCGGGGGGUCUGGGAAGAGUUUUCUUUUCUUUUUAAGCGUUCGUGGACCCUGGAAUUCUAUAGCAGAGAGAUAGGGUUUGGAACGCGAAAAACAUCGCAGUUGCGGCGGUGACCGGACUUCCCCCCCGGACCUUGAAAAUCNGGGUGAGAGCGACGCGGUGAUCGCGCCGGUUCGUAUCCAUAUCCGCAUCUGGUCUCCAAGGUUCAAAGCCUCUUGUCGAUAGAAUAAUGUAGGUAAGGGAAGUCGGCAAAUUGGAUCCGUAACUUCGGGACAAGGAUUGGCUCUGAGGAUCGGGGCGUGUCGGGCUUGGUCGGGAAGCGGGUCAGUGCCAACGUGCCGGGCCUGGGCGAGGGUUGUGUGGAUUCUUCGGUAGAAAUAUCGGGUUUCCCACGAUCCGAACUCGGUCCCGUGCCACUUGGCCUCCCGCGGAUCUUCCUUGCUGCGGGUUUUCGACCAAGCAGAUCAGGCUGGGCCACUCCAGGCCCGCCAGGACGGCUUCGAAUCAAUCCCUUCGGCCGCCAUUCAACGGUCAACUCAGAACUGGCACGGACAAGGAGAAUCCGACUGCCUAAUUAAAGCAAAGCAUUGCGAGGGCUCUAGCCGAGUGCUUACGCAAUGUGAUUUCUGCCCAGUGCUCUGAAUGUCAACGUGUAGAAAUUCAAGCAAGCGCGGGUAAACGGCGGGAGUAACUAUGACUCUCUUAAGGUAGCCAAAUGCCUCGUCAUCCAAUUAGUGACGCGCAUGAAUGGAUUAACGAGAUUCUCACUGUCCCUAUCUACUAUCUAGCGAAACCACAGCCAAGGGAACGGGCUUGGAAACAUUAGCGGGGAAAGAAGACCCUGUUGAGCUUGACUCUAGUCUGGCACUGUAAGGAGACAUGAGAGGUGUAGCAUAAGUGGGAGAUGGCGUGGCUUUAUGCCUGUCCGUCGACGGUGAAAUACCACUACUUUCAUCGUUUCUUUACUUACUCGGAUAGGCGGAGAGCGUGUCCGUCGAGGGCUCAGCCCACGCGGACCGGUAUUCUCGCGCCAAGCGUCCGGGUUGCCGGCAAGCGCCCGUCAGUGCUUGGGUUACGUGCGGUCCUUGACUUGUCACCGCAAGGGGGCUGUCACCGACCCACGGCCCUUGCCUCGACUGGGCGCCGUCGACCGGCAAACACUCCCACGCGUGAUCCGAUUCGAGGACACAGCCAGGCGGGGAGUUUGACUGGGGCGGUACAUCUGUCAAAUGAUAACGCAGGUGUCCUAAGGCCAGCUCAGCGAGGACAGAAACCUCGCGUAGAGCAAAAGGGCAAAUGCUGGUUUGAUCCCGAUGUCCAGUAGGCAUAGGGACUGCGAAAGCAGGGCCUGUCGAUCCUUUUGGCUUGAAGAGAUUUCAGCAAGAGGUGU